This 270-nucleotide ribosomal RNA is filed under the name uncultured archaeon. Its description in RNAcentral is "partial 16S ribosomal RNA". It matches the Rfam family "Archaeal small subunit ribosomal RNA", at positions 477 to 747 of the family's 1478-position model. The record is from RNAcentral.
CAGCACCUCAAGUGGUCAGGAUGAUUAUUGGGCCUAAAGCAUCCGUAGCCUGCUUUGUUAGUUUUCGGUUAAAUCCAUACGCUCAACGUAUGGGCUGCCGGGAAUACCGCAAAGCUAGGGAGUGGGAGAGGUAGACGGUACUCGGUAGGAAGGGGUAAAAUCCUUUGAUCUAUUGAUGACCACCUGUGGCGAAGGCGGUCUACCAGAACACGUCCGACGGUGAGGGAUGAAAGCUGGGGGAGCAAACCGGAUUAGAUACCCGAGUAGUCC